UACGAAGGGGGCUAGCGUUGUUCGGAAUUACUGGGCGUAAAGGGCGCGUAGGCGGCUCGGCAAGUUGGAUGCGAAAGCCCAGGGCUCAACCCUGGAAUUGCAUUCAAGACUGCCUUGCUUGAAUUCGGUAGAGGUUGGUGGAAUUCCCAGUGUAGAGGUGAAAUUCGUAGAGAUUGGGAAGAACACCGGUGGCGAAGGCGGCCAACUGGACCGACAUUGACGCUGAGGCGCGAAAGCGUGGGGAUCAAACAGG
RNAcentral lists this ribosomal RNA (253 nucleotides) under uncultured bacterium. RNAcentral describes it as "partial 16S ribosomal RNA". It matches the Rfam family "Bacterial small subunit ribosomal RNA", at positions 524 to 776 of the family's 1533-position model. The record is from RNAcentral.